AUGUUGUAUGAAAGGAGAGAAGGUUAGCACUCCCCUUGACAAGGAUGGAAGAGGCUCUCGGGCCUGCACAACACACAUAAGGUUAAGGCAUGUCCACCUACUUUGUGGCAUCUAACCAUCAUUUUUA
This 127-nucleotide non-coding RNA is filed under the name Propithecus coquereli (Coquerel's sifaka). The record is from RNAcentral. Lineage: Eukaryota; Metazoa; Chordata; Mammalia; Primates; Indriidae.